This 494-nucleotide ribosomal RNA is filed under the name uncultured bacterium. RNAcentral's name for it is "partial 16S ribosomal RNA". It matches the Rfam family "Bacterial small subunit ribosomal RNA", at positions 28 to 507 of the family's 1533-position model. The record is from RNAcentral.
GACGAACGCUGGCGGCGUGCUUAACACAUGCAAGUCGAACGGUGAAGCGCCUUCCUUUUUGGUGGGUGUGGAUGAGUGGCGAACAGGUGAGUAACACGUGAGUAACCUGCCCCCUUCUUCUGGAUAACCGCAUGAAAGUGUGGCUAAUACGGGAUAUUCUGGGUCUGUCGCAUGAUGGGUCUGGGAAAGAUAUUGUUUCGGUGGGGGAUGGGCUCGCGGCCUAUCAGCUUGUUGGUGGGGUGAUGGCCUACCAAGGCGGUGACGGGUAGCCGGCCUGAGAGGGUGGACGGUCACACUGGGACUGAGACACGGCCCAGACUCCUACGGGAGGCAGCAGUGGGGAAUAUUGCACAAUGGGCGCAAGCCUGAUGCAGCGACGCCGCGUGAGGGAUGGAGGCCUGCGGGUUGUGAACCUCUUUCGCCAGUGAAGCAGGCCUGCCUCGUUUGUGGGUGGGUUGACGGUAGCUGGAGAAGAAGCGCCGGCUAACUACGUG